Haliotis rubra (blacklip abalone) is the source of this 244-nucleotide long non-coding RNA. RefSeq lists it as uncharacterized. The transcript is spliced from 3 exons. NCBI's taxonomy places the organism in Eukaryota, Metazoa, Mollusca, Gastropoda, Lepetellida, Haliotidae. The record is from RefSeq and is a predicted model, not a curated record.
AAGAUCUGGAGUGCAGCAGUAUUUGCAUCAAUGUCACAUGUAGAAUGAUUCUAUAGGGUGUGAAGAGAGACCAGAAUGCAUGAUAUUAUACACAAGCACGAGAAAUAUGCCACGAUUAACAGCGGAAGAGAGGGAAAGAGCCACUGGGUUGUAGAUGGGGUCGACAUACAAUGCUGUUGCCAACGCCCUCGGAUGCAACCAUAUCACGGUUACAAGACUUAAUCAGCGCUACAGACAGACUGGG